RNAcentral lists this small RNA (95 nucleotides) under Arabidopsis thaliana (thale cress). Lineage: Eukaryota; Viridiplantae; Streptophyta; Magnoliopsida; Brassicales; Brassicaceae. The record is from RNAcentral.
AUGCUUUCAUACUAGCACUAAUGCACCGGAUCCCAUCAGAACUCCGCAGUUAAGCGUGCUUGGGCGAGAGUAGUACGAGGAUGGGUGACCUUGAG